GUUGUCCAAUUUCAUGGUCAUUUAGUGGCAUUUUUUCAAAAAAAAUUUGCAGUAAAUCAAAUUACCACAAACAAAACACAAAGUGAACUUGGGGUUUACAAGGCCCCUGAAGGUGGCCUGCCUCGAAAUGCAUAAAAAACAGGUUUUAUCUGUAGACCAGAUGUGAUGGGAUUACUUCGUGGUCAACAAAUGAAGGACAGAGGAAGAAAAAUAUGAAUCAAGGCCCCAAAUGUAGAUUUUGCUCUACCACUGUUGUUCAAAACACAAAGCAACUGAACCCACUGCUCUUCUUCUUGGUGGAUUUUAUCAUCUGAAGCACCACUGAUGAGCAUUUCUUGCAUGAGCGGCCUCAGGAUGAAUCAACCCUCCAACCUUGGCCAUUAGUGCCAUACUGUACUGAUCGUGCCAUAAAAGCAGAUAUAAAAGGUUGACUGACUCUGUUGCUCUAAUUGGGUGGAGAGAAAAAAAAUCCACUUCAAUAAAAAACGCUGUACUCUCAAAUGAAGAUAAUUAAAAAUGGCAUGACAAGCCUUGUUUAAGAGCAGAGCGGAGGUUCAAACAACACGACGGCGCUGGAGUUAAGUGUGUGUGUGUGUGGGCCUCAUCCCAAAGCCCUCCAGUACCUGACAGAUCUGAUAUCCUUAUGGCGAGGGAGGCGUAAUCUGAGGUGACAAGGAACAGCAAUUAAAAUAAAUAAAUAAAAUAACCGCCACAAUUAGCCGCCGCUUAAUUCACCACGAUGCCCCGAUAAUCUAGUAAUCUGCUAAAGUGACAUCGGCAAAUUCCCCCUUCCCUCCUCUGCACAAACUGAUGUGUGUGUCGGUGUGUGUGGAGAAGUGAAAGACAGAAGAGUACGCAGAUCCUAACAGAGAGCGUCGACUGGUAUUAGGACUGACACCCAUCAAUCUGGCUGAAAUGUCAGACUGAAUGAGGGAGGAGGAGUAGUGGACUGGGAGGAAGAGGAGCAGGAGGAGACAUGCAGAGGACUAGAAUAGAUAAAAAGUAAAGGAAGAGAUGAGGGGAGAGAAGAAGAAGAAGAAGAAGAAGAGAGGGUGAGGUCAGAAGAGAAAUUCAGAUUGGAUGAAUAAUAAGAAUAAGGAAGAAGGGCAAGAGGAGAAUUCAGGUGAGAGGAGGAGGGCAGAGGAAAGGAGCGAGAGAAAGGAAACAUCAAUGGAAAGAGGGCAGAAGAAGAAAGAAGGGUGAUGCCGAAGUGUAGAUGAAGCCAGAGGGACGCAUGGGAGAGAAAUGAAGAGGAGGAGAAGGAGCUAAAAGAGGAGAGAAAUUCAGGUGGGAGGAGGAGGGGGCAGAGAAAAUGUGGUCAGAGGAGGAGUGGAGAUGGAGACGGAGGAAGGAUGAAAGCAGGAGGAAAAGAGAUUAGUCUAAUUGUGUU
This is a long non-coding RNA of Sebastes umbrosus (honeycomb rockfish), 1390 nucleotides long. RefSeq lists it as uncharacterized. The transcript is spliced from 3 exons. Lineage: Eukaryota; Metazoa; Chordata; Actinopteri; Perciformes; Sebastidae. The record is from RefSeq and is a predicted model, not a curated record.